RNAcentral lists this ribosomal RNA (440 nucleotides) under uncultured bacterium. RNAcentral's name for it is "partial 16S ribosomal RNA". It matches the Rfam family "Bacterial small subunit ribosomal RNA", at positions 338 to 795 of the family's 1533-position model. The record is from RNAcentral.
CCUACGGGUGGCAGCAGUAGGGAAUAUUGCUCAAUGGGGGAAACCCUGAAGCAGCAACGCCGCGUGGAGGAUGAAGGUUUUCGGAUUGUAAACUCCUUUUGUUAGAGAAGAGAAUGACGGUAUCUCACUAAUAAGCACCGGCUAACACCGUGCCAGCAGCCGCGGUAAUACGGGGGGUGCAAGCGUUUAUCGGAAUCACUGGGGGUAAAGAGCGCGUAGGCGGGGUAGCAAGUCAGAUGUGAAAUCCUAUGGCUUAACCACAGAACUGCAUUUGAAACUGUUAGUCUAGAGUAUGGGAGAGGUAGGUGGAAUUCUUGGUGUAGGGGUAAAAUGCGUAGAGAUUAAGAGGAACACUCAUUGCGAAGGCGACCUGCUAGAACAUAACUGACGCUGAGGCGCGAAAGCGUGGGGAGCAAACAGGAUUAGAUACCCUUGUAGUC